UAGUUCACGGACAUCUACAGUAAUUAACCAUUUUUUAUAAACCCAGAAUUUCUGCAGUUUGGGGGGCUCGACCAGCCGACUUCAAGAGGUGAUUCCUCUCAACUUCGACCACCAAUUCACACAAGACCGGUCCCGUUGGAACCACUACACUUCCCUCUUCCAGCCCCAGCCCUUCACUGCCUCAAUCCACAGCUGUAAUCGCCGAAAACAGCCAAGAAACAGGAGGUUGUGGACAACUUUUUCGUAAACUUUCGGCGGCUCGUUCUCCCUUCUUCGGCCACCGUUUCAUGCGAGUGAGGCUGGACUAGAUGUAUCUGUACUGGAAUUUGCACGUCAGCACCUUCAACUAAUAGAGAUCAACUGGAAAUCGAUGCCAAUGUCGAGAUUGGCAGAGCUAUAAUUAAUCUGAGCCAUGAAGAGGCUUGUCGAAUGGGCAGAACUGGGAUUUCUCCAAUCCGGACUGAAUUGAAAGUGGAUGGGUUGGCAGUUGCUAGCCUAAAAUUGCACUUUAGUAUCUAUUCUGCUUGACUGAGGAUCACCUGUGGGCUAUUCUGGGGAUUUUAAGACAUCAAGAUGUCUCUGAAAAUUUGUUGAGGUUUUCAUAUUAUGAACAACCUGAGUUCUACUUGGAUCACCUAUUCUGAACCAGAUUUGUAACGAGAGGAAUCCGUUUUCCCUGUGAACUACUCCUCCGAGCUGGAUUGAAGUCAGAGAUUCGAUUUCUGCCUGUUUUGUUGGAAGCUGGAUGGAUUUUGCAAGCUAGAUAGCCUUAUUGCUUCUAAGUUUGAAGACUUUUAAGAUUGUGUGAUUUUGCUUGAUUUUUUGUCAGUAUGACUGAGAGUUUUUGUUUUGAUUUUGAUUUUUUGUUGUCCUCUCUCUAGUUCACAUCCUCUUAUAUUUAUAGGAAAUCUGUAUGAUGAUGAUUCCUUAAUAUAUGAAGGAUCUUUCCUGAGAAGUGUUUGCACCAGUAAAUAAGGGAGUAGUAGUUGUUAUGACAGGAA
Molecule: non-coding RNA, 1001 nt
Organism: Prunus avium (sweet cherry)
Lineage: Eukaryota; Viridiplantae; Streptophyta; Magnoliopsida; Rosales; Rosaceae
Source: RefSeq, a predicted model, not a curated record